This 82-nucleotide transfer RNA is filed under the name Angiostrongylus costaricensis. It matches the Rfam family "tRNA". Rfam says of the family: Transfer RNA (tRNA) molecules are approximately 80 nucleotides in length. The record is from Rfam by way of RNAcentral. Lineage: Eukaryota; Metazoa; Nematoda; Chromadorea; Rhabditida; Metastrongylidae.
GCAGCGAUGUCCCAGUGGUUAAGGAGAUUGACUUAAAAUCAGUCAGGCUCUGCCCGCGAUGGUUGGAAUUCUGCUCGCUGCG